Molecule: ribosomal RNA, 498 nt
Filed under: uncultured bacterium
Lineage: Bacteria
Description: partial 16S ribosomal RNA
Rfam family: Bacterial small subunit ribosomal RNA
Source: RNAcentral
ACUGAACGCUGGCGGCACGCCUUACACAUGCAAGUCGAACGGUAACAGGUCUUCGGAUGCUGACGAGUGGCGAACGGGUGAGUAAUACAUCGGAACGUGCCCGAUCGUGGGGGAUAACGAAGCGAAAGCUUUGCUAAUACCGCAUACGAUCUACGGAUGAAAGCAGGGGACCGCAAGGCCUUGCGCGAACGGAGCGGCCGAUGGCAGAUUAGGUAGUUGGUGGGAUAAAAGCUUACCAAGCCGACGAUCUGUAGCUGGUCUGAGAGGACGACCAGCCGCACUGGGACUGAGACACGGCCCAGACUCCUACGGGAGGCAGCAGUGGGGAAUUUUGGACAAUGGGCGAAAGCCUGAUCCAGCCAUGCCGCGUGCAGGAUGAAGGCCUUCGGGUUGUAAACUGCUUUUGUACGGAACGAAAAGACUCUGGUUAAUACCUGGGGUCCAUGACGGUACCGUAAGAAUAAGCACCGGCUAACUACGUGCCAGCCGCCGCGGUAA